This 436-nucleotide ribosomal RNA is filed under the name uncultured bacterium. RNAcentral's name for it is "bacterial SSU rRNA". It matches the Rfam family "Bacterial small subunit ribosomal RNA", at positions 355 to 786 of the family's 1533-position model. The record is from RNAcentral.
UGAGGAAUAUUGGUCAAUGGUCGCUAGACUGAGCCAGCCAAGUAGCGUGCGGGAUGAAGGCCCUCCGGGUCGUAAACCGCUUUUAGACGGGGAUAAAAGGGCGUACGUGUACGCCGUAUUGCAUGUACCGUCAGAAAAACGGACCGGCUAAUUCCGUGCCAGCAGCCGCGGUAAUACGGAAGGUCCGGGCGUUAUCCGGAUUUAUUGGGUUUAAAGGGAGCGUAGGCGGACUUUCAAGUCAGUGGUAAAAUCGUGUGGCUCAACCAUACCUCGCCAUUGAAACUGGAAGUCUGGAGUGCACACAGGGGUGCCGGAAUUCAUGGUGUAGCGGUGAAAUGCUUAGAUAUCAUGAAGAACUCCGAUCGCGAAGGCAAGUGCCCGGGGUGCAACUGACGCUGAGGCUCGAAGGUGCGGGUAUCGAACAGGAUUAGAUACC